This 497-nucleotide ribosomal RNA is filed under the name uncultured bacterium. Its description in RNAcentral is "partial 16S ribosomal RNA". It matches the Rfam family "Bacterial small subunit ribosomal RNA", at positions 28 to 507 of the family's 1533-position model. The record is from RNAcentral.
GAUGAACGCUGGCGGCGUGCCUAAUACAUGCAAGUCGAGCGAACGGACGAGAAGCUUGCUUCUCUGAUGUUAGCGGCGGACGGGUGAGUAACACGUGGAUAACCUACCUAUAAGACUGGGAAAACUUCGGGAAACCGGCGCUAAUACCGGAUAAUAUUUUGAACCGCAUGGUUCAAAAGUGAAAGACGGUCUUGCUGUCACUUAUAGAUGGAUCUGGGCUGCAUUAGCUAGUUGGUAAGGUAACGGCUUACCAAGGCAACGAUGCAUAGCCGACCUGAGAGGGGGAUCGGCGACACUAGAGCUUAGACAGGGACCAGAGUCCUACGGGAGGCAGCAGUAGGGAAUCGUACGCAAUGGGCGAAAGCCUUACGGAGCGACGCCACGCGUGUGAUGAAGGUGUUGGGAUCGUAAAGCUCUGUUACUAGGGAAGAACAUAUGUGUAAGGAACUGAGGACAGAUUGACGGUACCGAAUCAGAAAGCCACGGCUAACUACGUG